AUAGCCCCAGCUAUGGGUAAAUAGCCCCAGCUAUGGGUAAAUAGCCCCAGUUAUGGGUAAAUAGCCCCAGCUAUGGGUAAAUAGCCCCAGUUAUGGGUAAAUAGCCCCAGCUAUGGGUAAAUAGUGAAGACCACAACGGCUGGGAAGGCAGAAGAAGGCAACCCCAGAGCCACGUGGGUUAACUCGGGGGGGUACAGUGGCUAGGGGGGCAAACCCCGAAGACAAACCUGCACCUGGGGACAGGCACAGGCGGAGUCCAACUGCCCGGACCACCGGCAGCCCCCCCGCAACUCCUGCCAGACCAAGGUCGUCACGGGUUCCCUCAUGCCACUGGAGGUCCAUCUGGUCUUCAUCACGCACGGCUCCUGGUUCCUCCUCCGGCAAGACUGCCGUCUGCUCCUCGGUUCGGUCUUCGGGUCCUCACACCACCAUCAGUGUCCAGACUCCAUCGGGGGAUCAGCUUCUGGCUUUCUGACCCCCUAAAUAUAUAUAAUUUCAUAAUGACGGAGUCUAAUCUCCAAAGACUGCAAUCGUACAAUAAAUCUUGCAUAUCUAAAA
Molecule: long non-coding RNA, 558 nt
Organism: Perca fluviatilis (European perch)
Lineage: Eukaryota; Metazoa; Chordata; Actinopteri; Perciformes; Percidae
Exons: 2
Source: RefSeq, a predicted model, not a curated record